Molecule: ribosomal RNA, 494 nt
Filed under: uncultured bacterium
Lineage: Bacteria
Description: partial 16S ribosomal RNA
Rfam family: Bacterial small subunit ribosomal RNA
Source: RNAcentral
GAUGAACGCUAGCGGCAGGCUUAACACAUGCAAGUCGAGGGGUAUAGGUUUUCGGACCUAGAGACCGGCGCACGGGUGCGUAACGCGUAUGCAAUCUACCUUUUGCAGAGGGAUAGCCCAGAGAAAUUUGGAUUAAUACCUCAUAGUAUAACACAAUCGCAUGAUUGAGUUAUUAAAGUCACAACGGCAAAAGAUGAGCAUGCGUCCCAUUAGCUAGAUGGUAAGGUAACGGCUUACCAUGGCUACGAUGAGUAGGGGUCCUGAGAGGGAGAUCCCCCACACUGGUACUGAGACACGGACCAGACUCCUACGGGAGGCAGCAGUGAGGAAUAUUGGUCAAUGGACGCAAGUCUGAACCAGCCAUGCCGCGUGCAGGAUGACGGUCCUAUGGAUUGUAAACUGCUUUUGUACAGGAAGAAACACUCCUUCGUGAAGGAACUUGACAGUACUGUAAGAAUAAGGAUCGGCUAACUCCGUGCCAGCAGCCGCAGUAA